UACAGAGGGUGCAAGCGUUAAUCGGAUUUACUGGGCGUAAAGCGUGCGUAGGCGGUUUGUUAAGUCGGAUGUGAAAGCCCUGGGCUCAACCUAGGAAUAGCAUUCGAUACUGGCGGACUCGAAAUCGGUAGAGGGAGGUGGAACUCCAGGUGUAGCGGUGAAAUGCGUAGAUAUCUGGAAGAACACCGAUGGCGAAGGCAGCCUCCUGGGCCUGAUUUGACGCUGAGGCACGAAAGCGUGGGGAGCAAACAGG
Molecule: ribosomal RNA, 253 nt
Filed under: uncultured bacterium
Lineage: Bacteria
Description: partial 16S ribosomal RNA
Rfam family: Bacterial small subunit ribosomal RNA
Source: RNAcentral